This is a long non-coding RNA of Bombus huntii, 1409 nucleotides long. RefSeq lists it as uncharacterized. NCBI's taxonomy places the organism in Eukaryota, Metazoa, Arthropoda, Insecta, Hymenoptera, Apidae. The record is from RefSeq and is a predicted model, not a curated record. The transcript has 3 exons.
AUGUAGAUGUAAAGAUAUUUUUACUAUUCUGUUGAAUGCUUAAAAAGUUUACAUACAGUAUGAUUCGAUCAGAUUAGAUUAAAUUAGAACUAAUAAUUAAUCAACUACUAAUUAGUAAUGUAUAAGGUUACAUCAGAGUACAAAUAGAGUCUUACGACUGAAAAGAUAAAUAUUUAUUUUGAUCGUAAUACUGACACACGUAGUGAAAUGGGGCACGUCUCGAACACUCGCAAUUCAAUAAGGACUAAAGAAUAUUAUCGAUUUGAUAUUACAUAUCGAUCGAGAUCUUCUGUAUCGAUCAAACCAUAGUUCAGUUGAAGAAGUGGCACCAUACGGUAAAACAAAAUCUGGAUGAAUUAUGAAUGAUUUGAUAAAUUACAUAUGAUCAGUCAUGCAUGUUCCGGACAUAUAGACUCAUUGCCAAAGUUGCUGUUGUCAUUAUAAGCGAUAAGUCAUACAAUUAGAGAGCCGUGAUACAAAUGGAUUAAAAUUAGUUUGAUUUUGACGUACCAAUACGUCAUUGGCGGAUUUGAUCAGUUCGAUUUUCACAUACCAAUAAAUAUUAGUUGUAUUUAAAAGUAUAUGAUCUCUAACCGGCCAUCUACAAAAAAAGAUUAUGAUGUAUUAUUUGAUGUACCUAUCUGAGCUCAAAUAUACUGAACAAGAAUGGAAAAAGAUAAGAAUUGACGAGGAUAAUUUUUGUUACGAAUCCUUCAAUUUGUUCCAAAUAUCAGAUUGUUACCAGCGUAAAAUUCGGUCAUUAAAAAUCGUCAUUUAUUUGAUAAUUUCAAGGGAGAAUGAUAGAGAUUGGACAAUAUUUGCGUAGCCCAUAAAAUAUUUGUCAAACUAUUAAGUUGUUGACAUAAGUGGAUUUUAUUACUUUUUUGUAAAGCAUUUAGUCAGCUCACGCGAUAUUGCCGUGGUUGCGGUUAAUUUGUCAACUGUCAAAUUUAAUAUGAAAGACAAGGAGUGAUGCGACGCGGUAUUUUUGUGCUUACGUUGUCUUCGUCUUUCAUAAGUUAAAUUUAACAAAUUCAAAUCAAGAUAUCUGCCACGAUAAUGUCUUUUCGUUAUAAAUAGAUUAAUAUCUGUUUUGUAGAAAAUGUCCAGUUGGCCCAACUAAUGUCAUAAAAAAUAUACGGUGCCAUUUAAAAGAAUCAAGGUUACCUUGAUAUCUCAGAAAAUAUAAGAUAUUAGAAAAUACAAUUGCGCUCAUUUCCAUGAAAUGCAGCAUAAAUCAUUUAAGACGUUUUUUGAUAUAACCAAUAUGUAACGAGUUAUUUUAGGUAGUACUUCUGACUGAUUCGAUUCACCCUGUAUAAGAUUCACAAUAAUACAAUCGGUUAAAGAGAUUCCAAAACUGAAAUGGUCUCUUUAAUUCAAUGAUGAAUGAAUUACGGGACUUUCAC